GAUGAACGCUGGCGGCGUGCCUAAUACAUGCAAGUCGAGCGAACAGAUAAGGAGCUUGCUCCUUUGACGUUAGCGGCGGACGGGUGAUUAACACGUGGAUAACCUACCUAUAAGACUGGGAUAACUUCGGGAAACCGGAGCUAAUACCGGAUAACAUAUUGAACCGCAUGGUUCAAUAGUGAAAGGCGGCUUUGCUGUCACUUAUAGAUGGAUCCGCGCCGUAUUAGCUAGUUGGUAAGGUAACGGCUUACCAAGGCAACGAUACGUAGCCGACCUGAGAGGGUGAUCGGCCACACUGGAACUGAGACACGGUCCAGACUCCUACGGGAGGCAGCAGUAGGGAAUCUUCCGCAAUGGGCGAAAGCCUGACGGAGCAACGCCGCGUGAGUGAUGAAGGUCUUCGGAUCGUAAAACUCUGUUAUCAGGGAAGAACAAAUGUGUAAGUAACUGUGCACAUCUUGACGGUACCUGAUCAGAAAGCCACGGCUAACUACGUG
RNAcentral lists this ribosomal RNA (497 nucleotides) under uncultured bacterium. RNAcentral describes it as "partial 16S ribosomal RNA". It matches the Rfam family "Bacterial small subunit ribosomal RNA", at positions 28 to 507 of the family's 1533-position model. The record is from RNAcentral.